UACGGAGGGUGCAAGCGUUAUUCGGAAUUAUUGGGCGUAAAGAGCGCGUAGGCGGCUUUGCAAGUCAGGUGUGAAAUCCCGGGGCUCAACCCCGGAAGAUCAUUUGAUACUGUGGAGCUUGAGUAUGGGAGAGGGAAGUGGAAUUCCUGGUGUAGCGGUGAAAUGCGUAGAUAUCAGGAGGAACACCGGUGGCGAAGGCGGCUUGCUGGGCAGCAACUGACGCUGAGGCGCGAAAGCCAGGGGAGCAAACGGGGAUUAGAUACCCU
This 266-nucleotide ribosomal RNA is filed under the name uncultured prokaryote. RNAcentral's name for it is "partial 16S ribosomal RNA". It matches the Rfam family "Bacterial small subunit ribosomal RNA", at positions 524 to 788 of the family's 1533-position model. The record is from RNAcentral.